UUAAGCUAUAAAGAGCACAGGGCGGAUGCCUAGGCACUGAGAGCCGACGAAGGACGUGACAAGCUGCGAUAAGCUGCGGGGAGAAGCAAAUAUUCUGUGAGCCGCAGAUUUCCGAAUGGGGGAACCCACGUGAGCAAACCUCACGUAUCCAUACGCCAAUCCAUAACGUAUGGAAGGGAACCCGGGGAACUGAAACAUCUAAGUACCCGGAGGAAGAGAAAGAAACAUCGAUUUCCUUAGUAGCGGCGAGCGAAAGGGAAAGAGCCCAAACCGCGGGAUUUAUCCUGCGGGGUUAGGACUGCGUAAUUGAUUCGGGAUUGAUAGGAGAACGGUCUGGGAAGUCCGGCGAAAAAGCGUGAAAGCCGCGUAUCCGAAAUUGAAACCGACAUGGCAGUAUCCAGAGUACCACGAGACACGAGAAACCUUGUGGGAACGAGCGGAGACCACUCCGUAAGGCUAAAUACUACUCAGUGACCGAUAGCGCAUAGUACUGUGAAGGAAAGGUGAAAAGGACCCCGGGAGGGGAGUGAAAGAGAACCUGAAACCCUGUGUUUACAAGCUGUCGAAGCACAUAAGUGCGACGGCGUACUUUUUGUAGAACGGUCCGGCGAGUUAUGAUGAGUGGUAAGGUUAAGGACUUAAGGUCCGGAGCCGAAGCGAAAGCGAGUGUUAAAAGCACGUAGAAUCGCUUAUCAUAGACCCGAAACCGGGUGAUCUAUCCAUGUCCAGGUUGAAGCUGCCGUAAGAGGUAGUGGAGGACCGAACACACAUCCGUUGAAAAGGGUGGUGAUGAGGUGUGGAUAGGGGAGAAAUUCCAAUCGAACCCGGAGAUAGCUGGUUCUCCUCGAAAUAGCUUUAGGGCUAGCCUCUGGUUAGUCUGCCGCAGGUAGAGCACUGAAUUUCCUAGGGGGCGUCAAAGCCUACCGAAGAAUAUCAAACUGCGAAUGGCGGACAGAUGAUGCCAGGGAGUCAGACUGCACGAGAUAAGUUGGGUGGUCAAAAGGGAAAGAGCCCAGACCUACAGCUAAGGUCCCAAAGUGUGUGUUAAGUGGAAAAGGAUGUGGGAUUUCGAAGACAACUAGGAUGUUGGCUCAGAAGCAGCCACACAUUAAAAGAGUGCGUAAUAGCUCACUAGUCGAGAGGUCCUGCGCCGAAAAUGUCCGGGGCUAAAACACAACACCGAAGCUUAGGAAUUCUAAUGAAUUGGUAGAGGAGCAUUGAAGACGGAACGAAGCCAUACCGAAAGGAAUGGUGGACUGUCUUGAAGAGAGAAUGCCGGAAUGAGUAGCGAGAUUGAAGUGAGAAUCUUCAAGGCCGAAUAUCUAAGGUUUCCAGGGUAAAGCUGAUCUGCCCUGGGUAAGUCGGGGCCUAAGGCAAGGUCGAAAGACGUAGUCGAUGGAUAACAGGUUGAAAUUCCUGUACUGCAUCAAAUCAGAAAUGUGGGGACACAUGAGGGAAGCAUGAGCCGGAAAAGGAAAGUCCGGUACAAGCGCAGCAGAGGACAGAUAGGCAAAUCCGUCUGUCAACUCAAGGGCGUGAUGUGGAGCGAACCAAAGUAGCGAAGCAUGUGGAGCUUGUGUCGAGAAAAGCCGCUAUAGUGUUUGAUGUACCCGUACCGUAAACCGACACAGGUGGAUGAGGAGAGAAUCCUAAGGCCGGCGGGAGAAGCAUUGUUAAGGAACUCGGCAAAAUGACCCCGUAACUUCGGGAGAAGGGGUGCUCCAGAGAUGGAGCCGCAGAGAACUGGCCCAAGCAACUGUUUAGCAAAAACACAGGUCUAUGCAAAACCGAAAGGUGAGGUAUAUGGGCUGACGCCUGCCCGGUGCUGGAAGGUUAAGAGGAGAGGUUAGAGCAAUCGAAGCUUUGAAUUUAAGCCCCAGUAAACGGCGGCCGUAACUAUAACGGUCCUAAGGUAGCGAAAUUCCUUGUCGGG
This 1933-nucleotide ribosomal RNA is filed under the name human gut metagenome. RNAcentral's name for it is "bacterial LSU rRNA". It matches the Rfam family "Bacterial large subunit ribosomal RNA", at positions 3 to 1976 of the family's 2925-position model. The record is from RNAcentral.